This 42420-nucleotide long non-coding RNA is filed under the name Triticum aestivum (bread wheat). RNAcentral's name for it is "long non-coding RNA (TAES_LNC001858)". The stretch from base 31811 to 31897 matches the Rfam family "MIR1120/MIR1122 microRNA precursor family". Lineage: Eukaryota; Viridiplantae; Streptophyta; Magnoliopsida; Poales; Poaceae. The record is from RNAcentral.
GCGGAUGGGAAGAGCAGAUGAAGGGGCCGUGCCCCAGGAGAAUCAAGCUCUGGACUUGGGAGGGCGUGUGGUCAGUCCGGAUGGAUAAGCGGGAUGGGCAUGAUGCAAAGUACCUGAUGGACGGGUGGGACGACUUCGUCGACGCUCAUGGCGUGGAAGCAGACGACCUGCUAACCUUCCAGAUCGUGGAGCCUGACGGCUGGUAUGUUCGAAUCUACGCUCCCUGUGGCAAGGAGAGGCCGAUUGGACGACUGCUGCUCUAGCCAGCGCAUCCGCCCAUGAUGAUUCGCCGGGAUGCUAGUAUCGUAGACUGUCGUAGUAUGCUAUGUUCUCGUAUGUGAUGCCUCGUGCUUUACUGUUUUAUGUUCUGGUAUGAUCUUUGCUGUCCUAGUAGGCUCUGUUCUUUGCUGCCAGGUUAUCAAGUUACUUAUUCCGUGUUGAUCUAUGUAACAGAACUAUGAUCCGGAAACAUUUUUCAGAUUUUAUGUGUUUCCUUUCAAUAUUAAUAUCUGCAGCAUCCAUGUGUUAUUAAGUUACUACACAUUCUUAUACCCCGACGCUCAGAUGCGUAAUAUGAAUCAGCCUCUGUUUUGGCUAGAUAAUUUGUUUAGCCAUUUUCCAAAAAAUACGCACAAAGCGUGUUCGCUUUCAUCGACUAGUGCUCCGUUGAGUAAACUAGUUAUUAUUCAGAUAUAUAUCAGAAAAGGAGCUCAUUUAUGAAGUUUUUGACCUUGAAUAAAAUUUGGCAAUUCAGUUCUCACAUAUUAUUUGGCGCGGGGACUGUGUAGCUUGCGGUGUCGAAAAGGCAACACACCUCUGAAGGAGUAGUUUAAAUAGGGAGCCAAUCCUUUUUCAUUUGGUGGUGGGAAUUUUAAACUUGAACACAAUGUGGCGUUUUCGGUUCUCGCACAUUAAUUGGCAUCUCGAGUUAUGGUUUCUACCUUCUUGAUCCAAAUAUAGAUCAUACACUGCAUAUUAAGCUUAACAAAAAUACGGCCGAGGAAGAGCUGCAGCAUCACACCGCACACAUACACGGGUAGGUUGGGUUGAGAAACUCAUAACUCCCUGCGCCAAGUAAUGUGGGCUGUGUUUUUCAUGGGCAUGGACUCGACGACCGUCAACAGCCUCUGAGUCGAUCGUGCCCCCAUCUAGCACACCGAUGAUUGUGUGAGGGCGAAGAUGUCGGUGUCCGCUACGACGGGAGGCACCUACCCAGACUCAGGGGCUAGUGUCGAGCUAAAGCAUAAAAAGUACCGUCGUUGCUCCACCUAAAAGCUACAGUGUGUGGUUGCGGGGUGAUGCCGCGGCUCUUCCUCGAGCUUAAUUUUAUUAAGCUCGGCAUGCUUUGUAUGAUCUAUUUGUGGAUCCUUUUUGCAAGAAGGGAGAAAUCAUAGCGCCAAGUAAUGUGGGCGCGGGGGAUGAAAAUGCGUAGCAACUUAAAAAACACAUGCAUGCUGUAGAUAUCUAUAUAUAUAUAAGAACAUAGAAUCUAGAAAAUGUCUCGGAUCAUAGAUCUGUUACAUGCCCAUUAUAAAUGACUAGAUAAAAAUUAAAGGAAAUAAUCCAUCAGACAAAGAAGAUUUCCCAAGAUACAUGAAUUUGUAGGAAACAAAUCCUAGCAGCACAUAACACUUCUACAAUCUUGUGAAUGACCGUGGCCAUGGCAUGCAGACCGGGGUCACCAUCGUGACAACAUUAGGGUUCAUGACAUGUCCGAUUUUCAUAGCCCGUCCAGACAUUGUAUCAACUAAGAAAAUGUGUGGGCAAAAACCAAAUGUGAUGAUGGCGUAAGAGCCAUUUCUUCCGACGGCUCUAAUCUUCAUGGAGAAAAAGUCCCCCCCGCCGCCGGCUACAUCCCAGAAAGACGAUACUAUAUACCCAUCGAAGAUGAGCUUAAGGUUGUGGCUCGCAUGUAGCUGCCAAUCAUAUGAUCUGGCCUUCAUCGUGCAAGUCCAGUUCUCCAGCACGCCCCCCCCGGCGAAGAAGGAUACAUAUGCCGGACUGGCCCGACCGUGCCAUCAUGUAAUCCAUGUCCUUAGCGUUGCUAAAGGCAGCCGGAAGCUUGGCCAUGCCGAACUUACGAGACGCUAGAUCGUACGAAAACAGAAAACCUACGACAUACAUCAUGUACAACACGCCGUCUACCACUAUGGCGCAUGGAUCAUCGUGCGGGAUGCAUGGUUUCUUUGAGAAUAUAGGCUCAGAUACCUCCACGAACCACCGGUCGCCGCGGUCCAUAGUUACGCGAAGAUGGAACGCGCCGAGCUCGCCGCCUGCCUUCGCGUGCGUCUGAUGAUAGCCGUCGAAGAAGGGCUUCUCGCCGUCGAUGACGACGAAGCAGGCGCAGAUGGCAGACGGGAUGGCCUCGAUGAUGUUAUCUCGAGGAAGCCGGUGGCGACUUGCAGAGACUGGCCCAAGGAUUGUACGCUUAGCGUAACCCCUUGGGGAUUCUCUUUCUCUCAUGACGAGCUCGACGGCGACGCAUGCCAGCACCGUCUCGUAGCUGGCUUGCCCGGCGAGAGCCGCCGCGACUUCUGACGCCUUUGGAGCUAAGGCCUGGUCCAGCCCUUCCACCGGGGCGAACUCCAGGUGCCUCCAGUCGGUGCCAACCACGGCGAACUGCAGAAUGAUCCCAAGCAAAGGCGGAUCGUGGUUUGCCAUGAAUUGCUGACGGAACUCCUUCCUUGAUGCAAUACUCAGCCACUCCCUCGACAACGUGCUAGACCGCAGAAGGCUCUUCAAGCCAUCAACACGGAGAAGCACCUGCUCUAGAAGCUCACCUAAGCGAAGAACUGUAGUCAUGGAUUCCUCGCCAUCACUUGUGGGGGGUGGGUUGAUGGCGGCCAUGGAUGCUUGGGAAGGGCGCAUACGCGUGUGUGAUGAAAGAGAAGGGUGUGCUGCCUGCUGAUGCCUGGAAUGGUGGUCUUUGACUAUCCGCAGCUGAGUGUAUAGAAACGACAUGGGUUGAAAAUCGAAAAUCUGGUCUGUCGCCAGCAGGGAGGCACCUGCGCGCGGGAGGCCCGAGGGGCAUGGGCGGGAGCAGAGGGUUGGGCGGCUUUUGACUUCGCAUCACAUGCAUGCGGGCGCAUGCACAGGGGGAGGGGGGGGGGCACGGACAUGCCCGGAGCCAAAACAAAGACAAGCUACAAACCACGCCCCGACGGCGGCCGUCUCUAUGUUGGCGCGUCUGUCUUCCGGUUAAAAAGGCGGGCUCAAACCAAGCUACAAGUACAGGGAUACGCUGAUUGAGAGCACGAGCUAGGAGCUAGAUCGACGGCACAGUUAGGAUAGAGAUGGCCGUGUCACGGCGGCCGGGGUGGAUCGCCGCCGGCCUCCUGGCGCGCCUGCUCAUGGUGGUCGUCCUGCUCAUGUCCGUGCGCUUCGUUCUCGCCAACUACAUCCAUUGGGACUAUACGCAGGGCACCUACAAGCUGCAGAGCUACACGUAUGAAUCUGUUUCCGACUGUCCAAUACCUCAUGCGUCUUUUUGGGUGUCAGCUGGCGAAUUUGCUCCUGCAUGGACUGUAAAAAAAUAGUACAUGGACUAAAAAGGUUCGAACCUUCCCCAAACAGUUCUCCAUUUGCCGUACAGGAACCUUUGCUUUUGGGCGCCGGUGGUCCUGUCUGCUAGACUGCCACAACCACAGCCUAGUGCCUGCCGGUCCCCUCCCCCUUGCAUGCAGCGUGGUCCACCCCCUUGCUAUAAGAGGAAAAGAACAUCAAAAGAAUAAAAAGAGAAAAAAGCAAAUGGGGUAAGAGGAGGGACCAGAUCCCAACACCAACGAGCGCNNNNNNNNNNNNNNNNNNNNNNNNNNNNNNNNNNNNNNNNNNNNNNNNNNNNNNNNNNNNNNNNNNNNNNNNNNNNNNNNNNNNNNNNNNNNNNNNNNNNNNNNNNNNNNNNNNNNNNNNNNNNNNNNNNNNNNNNNNNNNNNNNNNNNNNNNNNNNNNNNNNNNNNNNNNNNNNNNNNNNNNNNNNNNNNNNNNNNNNNNNNNNNNNNNNNNNNNNNNNNNNNNNNNNNNNNNNNNNNNNNNNNNNNNNNNNNNNNNNNNNNNNNNNNNNNNNNNNNNNNNNNNNNNNNNNNNNNNNNNNNNNNNNNNNNNNNNNNNNNNNNNNNNNNNNNNNNNNNNNNNNNNNNNNNNNNNNNNNNNNNNNNNNNNNNNNNNNNNNNNNNNNNNNNNNNNNNNNNNNNNNNNNNNNNNNNNNNNNNNNNNNNNNNNNNNNNNNNNNNNNNNNNNNNNNNNNNNNNNNNNNNNNNNNNNNNNNNNNNNNNNNNNNNNNNNNNNNNNNNNNNNNNNNNNNNNNNNNGGAGAGUUUCGGGGUCACCAGUAUUGUACCGGGACCACCGGAAGGGUCCCGGGGGUCCACCGGGUGGGGCCACCUGUCCUGGAGGGCCCCAUGGGCUGAAGUGACGUGGGAACCAGCCCCUAGUUGGCUGGUGCGCCACCCUUGGGCCUCCCUUGCGCCUAGGGUUGGAAACCCUAAAGGGGUGGGGGCGCCUCCACCUGGCUUGGGGGCCAAGCCACCCCCUAGGCCGUCGGCCAUCCCAUUAGAUGGGAUCUCUAGGGGACGGCGCCCCCCAGGGCCCUUAUAUAUAGUGGAAGGGAGGGAGGGCAGCAGGACCCAAGCCCUAGCGCCUCCCUCCCUCCCGUGACACCUCUUCCUCCCCGCUUGCGCUUGGCGAAGCCCUGCCGGGAUCCCGCUACUUCCACCACCACACCGUCGUGCUUCUGGAUCUCCUUCAAUUUCUCCACCCCCCUUGCUGGAUCAAGAUGGAGGAGACAUCUACGCUCCGUAUGUGUGUUGAACGCGGAGGUGCCGUCCGUUCGGCGUUAGGAUCAUCGGUUAUUUGGAUCACGACGAUUACGACUCCAUCAACCCCGUUCUCUUGAACGCUUCCUAUUAGCGAUCUACAAGGGUAUGUAGAUGCACUCCUCUCCCUCUCAUUGCUAUAUGACUCCAUAGAUUGAUCUUGGUGAUGCGUAGAAAAUUUUAAAUUCUGCUACGAUCCCCAACAGUGGCAUCAUGAGCUAGGUCUAUGCGUAGAUUCUAUGCACGAGUAGAACACAAAGUAGUUGUGGGCGAUGAUUUGUUCAAUUUUCUUGCCGUUACUAGUCUUAUCUUGAUUCGGCGGCAUUGUGGGAUGAAGCGGCCCAGACCGACCUUACACGUACACUUACGUGAGACAGGUUCAACCGACUGACAUGCACUUGAUGCAUAAGGUGGCUGGCGGGUGUCUGUCUCUCCCACUUUAGUCGGAUCGGAUUUGAUGAAAAGGGUCCUUAUGAAGGGUAAAUAGCAAUUGGCAUAUCACCAUUAUGGUUUUGCGUAGGUAAGAAACGUUCUUGCUAGAAACCCAUAACAGCCACGUAAAACAUGCAACAACAAUUAGAGGACGUCUAACUUGUUUUUGCAGGGUAUGCUAUGUGAUGUGAUAUGGCCAAAAGGACAUGAUGAAUGAUAUAUGUGAUGUAUGAGAUUGAUCAUGUUCUUGUAAUAGGAAUCACGACUUGCAUGUCGAUGAGUAUGACAACCGGUAGGAGCCAUAGGAGUUGUCUUAAUUUAUUUAUGACCUUCGUGUCAAUGAAAACGCCAUGUAAUUACUUUACUUUAUUGCUAAACGUUAUCCAUAGUAGUAGAAGUAAUAGUUGGCGAGGCAACUUCAUGAAGACACGAUGAUGGAGAUCAUGAUGAUGGAGAUCAUGGUGUCAUGCCGGUGACGAUGGUGUUCAUGCUGCGCCUCGAAGAUGGAGAUCAAAGGCGCAAGAUGAUAUUGGCCAUAUCAUGUCACUUUAUGAUUUGCAUGUGAUGUUUGUCAUGUUUACAUCUUAUUUGCUUAGAAUGACGGUAGCAUAAAUAAGAUGAUCCCUCACAAUAAUUUCAAGAAAGUGUCCCCCCCCCCUAAAUGUGCACCGUUGCUAAGGUCCAUUGUUCCGAAGCACCACGUGAUGAUCGGGUGUGAUAGGUUCUAACGUUCGCAUACAACGGGUGUAAGCCAGAUUUACACAUGCAAUACACUUAGGUUAACUUGACGAGCCUAGCAUGUACAGACAUGGCCUCGGAACAUGGAAGACCGAAAGGUCAAACAUGAGUCGUAUAGUGGAUACGAUCAACAUGAAGAUGUUCACCGAUGAUCUCUAGUCCGUCUCACGUGAUGAUCGGACACGGCCUAGUUGACUCGGAUCAUGUAUCACUUAGAUGACUAGAGGGAUGUCUAUCUAAGUGGGAGUUCAUUGAAUAAUUUGAUUAUAUGAACUUAAUUAUCAUGAACAUAGUCAAAAGGUCUUUACAAAUUAUGUCGCAGCUCACGCUUUGGUUCUACUGUUUUAGAUAUGUUCCUAGAGAAAAUUUAGUUGAGAGUUAACAGUAGCAAUUAUGCGGACUGGGUCCAUGAACUGAGGAUCGUCCUCAUUGCUGCACAGAAGGGUUAUGUCCUUAAUGCACCGCUCAGUGUGUUGAACCUCGAGAAUCGUCUGUAGAUGUUGGGAAACAUCUGACAUACACGUUUUGAUGACUACGCGAUAGUUCAGUACGUAAUACUAACGGUUUAGAAUUGUGGCACCAAAGACGUUUUUGAAACGUCGCAGAACAUAUGAGAUGUUCCAAAGACUUAAAUUGGAAUUUCAGACUAGUGCCCACGUCAAGAGGUAUGAGACCUCUGACAAGUUUCUUAAGCCUGCAAACUAAGGGAGAAAAACUCAAUCGUUGAGCAUGUGCUCAGAUUGUCUGAGUACUGCAAUCGCUUGAAUCGAGUGGGAGUUAAUCUUCCAGAUGAGAUAGUGAUGGUUCUCCAUAGUCACUGCCACCAAGCUAUUGGAGCUUCGUGAUUAACUAUAACAUAUUAGGGAUAGACAUGAUGAUCCUUAAGCAACUCGCGAUGUUUGACACCGCGAAAGUAGAAAUCAAGUAGGAGCAUCAAUUGUUGAUGGUUAAACCACUAGUUUCAAGAAGGGCAAGGGAAAGAAGGGAUACUUCAUGAACCCAAGGUUGAACCAAACCCGAGACUAAGUGCUUCUAUAAUGAGGGGAACGGUCACUGAAGCGGAACUACCCUAGGUACUUGGUAGAUGAGAAGGCUGGCAAGGUCGACAGAAGUAUUUUGGAUAUACGUCAUAUUAUUGUGUACUUUACUAGUACUCCUAGUAGCACCAGGGUAAUAAAUACCGGUUCGGUUGCUAAGCGUUAGUAACUCGAAAUAAAAGGCUGCGGAGACUAGCUAAAGGUGAGAUGACGAUAUGUGUUGGAAGUGUUUCCAAGGUUGAUGUGAUCAAACAUCGCACGCUCCCUCUACCAUCGGGAUUGGUGUUAAACCGAAAUAAUUGUUAUUUGGUGUUUGCGUUGAGCAUAUACAUGAUUGGAUUAUGUUUAUCGCCACACAGUUAUUCAUUUAAGGAGAAUAAUGAUUACUCUGUUUAUUUGAAUAAUACCUUCAAUGGUCUUGCACCUAAAAUGAAUGGUUUAUUGAAUCUCGAUCGUAGUGAUACACAUGUUCAUGCCAAAAGAUAUAAGAUAGCAAUGAUAGUACCACGUACUUGUGGCACUCCAUUUGAGUCAUGUUGGUAUAAAACGCAUGAAGAAGCUCCAUGUUGAUGGAUCUUUGGACUCACUUGUUUUUGAAAAGAUUGAGACAUGCGAACCAUGUCUAUUCGUAGAUAUGCAUGAAGAAACUCCAUGCAGAUGGAUCAUUUGGACUCACUUGAUUUUGAAUCACUUGAGACAUGCAAAUCAUACCACAUGGGCAAGAUGACUGAAAGGCCUCGUUUUCAGUAAAAUGGAACAAGAAAGCAACUUGUUGGAAGUAAUACAUUUUGAUGUGUGCAGUCCAAUGAGUGCUGAGGCACGCAGUGGAUAUCGUUAUGUUCUUACUUCACAGAUGAUUUGAGUUGAUGCUGAGUAUAAUUACUUGAUGAAACACAAAUCUGAAUUAUUAAAAGGUUUAAGUAAUUUCAGAGUGAAGUUGAAGAUCAUCAUGACAAGAUGAUAAAAUGUCUAUGAUAUGAUCAUAGAGAUGAAUAUCUGAGUUACGAGUUUAGCACACAAUUAAGACAAUGUGGAAAUUGUUUCACAACUAAUACCGCCUGGAUCACCAUAGUGUGAUGGUGUGUCCGAACAUCAUAACUGCACCCUAUUGGAUAUGGUGCAUACCAUGAUGUCUCUUAUCGAAUUACCACUAUCGUUUAUGGGUUAGGCAUUAGAGACAACUGCAUUCACUUUAAAUAGGGCACCACACAAUUCCGUUGAGACGACACCGUAUGAACUAUGGUUUAGAGAAACCUAAGUUGUCGUUUCUUAAAAGUUUGGGGCUGUGAUGCUUAUGUGAAAAAGGUUCAGGCUGAUAAGCUCGAACCCAAAGCGGAUAAAUGCAUCUUCAUAGAAUACCCAAAAAAUAGUUGAGUAUACCUCCUACUUCAGAUCCGGAAGCAAAAGUGAUUGUUUCUAGAAACGGGUCCUUUCUCGAGGAAAAGUUUCUCUCCAAAGAAUUGAGUGGGAGGAUGGUGGAGACUUGAUGAGGUAAUUGAACCGUCACUUCAACUAGUGUGUAGCAGGACACAGGAAGUUGUUCCUGUGGCACCUACACCAAUUGAAGUGGAAGCUUAUGAUAAUGAUCAUGAAACUUCGGAUCAAGUCACUACCAAACCUCAUAGGUCGACAAGGAUGUGUACUACUUCAGAGUGGUACGUAAUCCUGUCUUGGAAGUCAUGUUGCUAGACAACAAUGAACCUACGAGCUAUGGAGAAGCGAUGGUGGGCCCGGAUUCCGACGAAUGGCUCGAGGCCAUAAAAUCCGAGAGAGGAUCCAUGUAGAAAACAAAGUAUAGACUUUGAAAGAACUACUUGAUGGUCGCAAGGCUAUUGGGUGCAGAUGGAUUUUAAAAGGAAGAUGGACAAUGAUGGUAAGUGUCACCAUUAAGAAAGCUUGACUUGUCGUUAAGAUGUUUCCCGACAAGUUCAAGGAGUUGACUACGAUGAGACUUUCUCACUCGUAGCGAUGCUAAGAGUCUGUUGGAAUUAUGUUAGCAGUUACUGCAUUAUUUAUGAAAUCUUGCAGAUAGGAUGUCAAAACAUUGUUUCCUCAACAAUUUUCUUGAGGAAAGGUUGUAUCUGAUACGACCAGAAGGUUUUGUCAAUCCUAAAAGAUGCUGACAAGUAUGCAAAGCUCCAGCAAUCCUUCUAAGGACUGGAGUAAGCAUCUCGGAGUUGGAAUGUACACUUUGAUGAGAUGAUCAAAGAUUUUGGGUUUAUAUAAAGUUUAUGAGAAACUUGUAUUUCCAAUGAAGUGAGUGGGAGCACUAUAGAAUUUUUGAUGAGUAUAUGUUGUUAACAUAUUGUUGGUCAGAAAUGAUGUAGAAUUUCUGGAAAGCAUGCAGGGUUAUUUGAAAAGUGUUUUUCAAUGGAAAAUCUAGAUUAAGCUACUUAAACAUUGAGCAUCAAGAUCUAUAAGGAUAGAUCAAAAACGCUUAAUAGUACUUUCAAAUGAAUACAUACCAUGACAAGAUUUUGAAGGAGUUCAAAACAGAUCAGCAAAGAAGGAGUUCUUAGCUGUGUUACAAGGUGUGAAUAUUGAGUAAGACUCAAGAUAUGACCACGGUAGAAGAGAGAGAAAGGACGAAGGUCGUCCCCUAUGCUUUAGACGUAGGCUCUAUAGUAUGCUAUGAUGUGUACCGCACCUGAAGUGUGUCUUGCCAUGAGUCAGUCAAGGGGUACAAGAGUGAUCCAGGAAUGGAUCACACGACAGCGGUCGAACUUAUCCUUAGUAACUAGUGGACUAAGGAAUUUUCUCGAUUAUGGAGGUGGUAAAAGAGUUCGUCGUAAAGGGUUACAUCGAUGCAAACUUUGACACUAAUCGGGAUGACUCUGAGUAGUAAACCGGAUUCGUAUAGUAGAACAGUUAUUUGGAAUAGCUCCAAGUAGCGCGCGGUAGCUGCAUCUACAAGAUGACAUAGAUAUUUGUAAAGCACACAUGGAUCUGAAAGGUUCAGACUCAUUGACUCAUCUACUACCUCGACGUCUUGCUAGAUGAAGAAGGCGAGGGACGUCACCGAGCUGAAAGCGUGUAGAACUCAGAGGUGUCGUGUGUUCGGUACUUGAUCGGUCGGAGCUAGAAGAAGUUCAACUACAUCAACCGCGUUGACAAAUGCUUCCGCUUACAGUCUACAAGGGUACGUAGACACGCUCUCCCCCUUGUUACUAUGCAUCUUCUAGAUAGAUCUUGUGUGAGCGUAGGAAGUUUUUUGAAAUUGCAUGCCACGUUUCCCAAUAGUGGCAUCACAGCCAGGUCUAUGCAUAGAUGAUAUGCACCAGUAGAACACAAAGAGUUUUGGGCGGUGAUCAUCAUACUGCUUACCACCAAUGUCUUAUUUUUAUUGAGCGGUAUUGUUGGAUGAAGCGUCCCGGACCAACCUUACAUGACCACGUUCAUGAGACCGGUUCCACCGACAAAUACAUGCAACUAGUUUUGCAUAAAGGUGGCUGGUGGGUGUCUGUUUCUCCGACUUUAGUUGAAUCAAAUUUGACUGCGAUCAAUCCUUGUUGAAGGUAAAAAUAGCAAACUUGAUAAAUCACCGUUGUGGUUUUGAUGCGUAGGUAAGAACGUUUCUUGCUAGAAGCCCGUAGCAGCCACGUAAAACUUGCAACAACAAAGUAGAGGACGUCUAACUUGUUUUUGCAAGGCAUGUUGUGAUGUGAUAUGGUCAAGAAUGAUGUGAUAUACGUUAUUGUAUGAGAUGAUCAUGUUUUUAAAAGUUAUCGGCAACCGGCAGGAGCCUUAUGGUUGUCCCUUUAUUGUAUGAAAUGCAAACGCCAUGUAAUUGCUUUACUUUAUCACUAUGCGUUAGCGAUAGUUGUAGAAGCAAUAGUUGGCGAGACGACCACGAAGCUACUGUGGAGAUCAUCGUGUCAAGCCGAUGACAAUGGAGAUCAUGAAGGUUCUUUGGAGAUGGAGAUCAAAAGCACAAGAUGAUGAUGGCCAAAUCAUGUCACAUAUUUUUAUUGCAUGUGAUGUUUAUCUUUUAUGCAUCUUAGUUUGCUUAGUAUGGCAGUAGCAUUAUAAGAUGAUCCCUUAACUAAAAUUUCAAGGUAUAAGUGUUCUCCCUGAGUAUGCACUAUUGCGACAGUUCGUCGUGUUGAGACACCACGUGAUGAUCGGGUGUGACAGACUCUACGUUCACAUACAAUGGGUGCAAGACAGUUUCAGAAUACUCGGGUUAAACUUGACGAGCCUAGCAUGUACUGACAUGGCCUAGGACACUGGAGACUGAAAGGUCGAACGUGAAUCAUAUAGUAGAUAUGAUCAACAUAGAGAUGUUCACCAUUGAUGACUACUCCAUCUCACGUGAUGAUCAGACAUGGUUUAGUUGAUUUGUAUCACGUUGUUGGAAAUAUGCCCUAGAGGCAAUAAUAAAAUGGUUAUUAUUGUAUUUCCUUGUUCAUGAUAAUUGUCUAUUUUUCAUGCUAUAAUUGUAUUAACCGGAAACCGUAAUACAUGUGUGAAUACAUAGACCACAACAUGUCCCUAGUAGGCCUCUGGUUGACUAGCUCGUCGAUCAAUAGAUGGUCAUGGUUUCCUGACCAUGGAUAUUGGAUGUCAUUGAUAACGGGAUCACAUCAUUAGGAGAAUGAUGUGAUGGACAAGACCCAAUCCUAAGCCUAGCACAAGAUCAUAUAGUUCGUCUUCUAAAGCUUUUCUAAUGUCAAGUAUCAUUUCCUUAGACCAUGAGAUUGUGCAACUCCCGCAUACCGUAGGAAUACUUUGGGUGUACCAAACAUCACAACGUAACUGGGUGGCUAUAAAGGUGCACUACGGGUAUCUCCGAAAGUGUCUGUUGGGUUGGCACGAAUCGAGACUGGGAUUUGUCACUCCGUGUAAACGGAGAGGUAUCUCUGGGCCCACUCGGUAGGACAUCAUCAUAAUGUGCACAAUGUGACCAAGGAGUUGAUCACGGGAUGAUGUGUUACGGAACGAGUAAAGAGACUUGCCAGUAACGAGAUUGAACAAGGUAUCGGGAUACCGACGAUCGAAUCUCGGGCAAGUACUAUACCGGUAGACAAAGGGAAUUGUAUACAUGACUGAUUGAAUUCUCUACAUCGUGGUUCAUCUGAUGAGAUCAUCGUGGAGCAUGUGGGAGCCAACAUGGGUAUCCAGAUCCCACUGUUGGUUAUUGACCAGAGAGAUGCCUCGGUCAUGUCUACGUGUCUCCCGAACCCGUAGGGUCUACACACUUAAGGUUCGGUGACGCUAGAGUUGUAGAGAUAUUAGUAUGCGGUUAACCGAAAGUUGUUCGGAGUCCCGGAUGAGAUCCCGAACGUCACGAGGAGUUUCGGAAUGGUCCGGAGGUAUAUAUAUAUAUAUAUAUAUAUAUAUAUAUAUAUAUAUAUAUAUAUAUAUAUAUAUAUAUAUAGGAAGUCCAGUUUCGGCCACCGGCUAGAGUUUCGGGGUCACCGGUAUUGUACCGGGACCACCGGAAGGGUCCCGGGGGUCCACCGGGUGGGGCCACCUGUCCCGGAGGGCCCCAUGGGCUGAAGUGACGUGGGAACCAGCCCCUAGUGGGCUGGUGCGCCACCCUUGGGCCUCCCUUGCGCCUAGGGUUGGAAACCCUAAAGGGGUGGGGGCGCCUCCACCUGGCUUGGGGGCCAAGCCACCCCCUAGGCCGCCGCCCAUCCCAUUAGAUGGGAUCUCUAGGGGCCGGCGCCCCCCCAGGGCCCCUAUAUAUAGUGGAGGGGAGGGAGGGCAGCAGGACCCAAGCCCUGGCGCCUCCCUCCCUCCCGUGACACCUCUUCCUCCCCGCUUGCGCUUGGCGAAGCCGUGCCGGGAUCCCGCUACUUCCACCACCACACCGUCGUGCUGCUGGAUCUCCUUCAACUUCUCCUCCCCCCUUGCUGGAUCAAGAAGAUGGAGACGUCUCCGCUCCGUACGUGUGUUGCACGCGGAGGUGCCGCCCAUUCAACGCUAGGAUCAUCGAUGAUUUGGAUCACAACAAGUAUGACUCCAUCAACCCCGUUGUCUUGAACUCUUCCGCUUAGCGAUCCACAAGGGUAUGUAGAUGCACUCCUCUCCCUCUCGUUGCUAGACAACUCCAUAGAUUGAUCUUGGUGAUGCGUAGAAAAUUUUAAAUUUCUGCUACGAUCCCCAACACACGUAUCAUUUAGAUGACUUGAGGGAUGUCUAUCUAAGUGGGAGUUCUUAAGUAAUUUGAUUAAUUGAACUUUAAUUUACCAUGAGCUUAGUCCUGAUAGUAUUUGCAAAUUAUGUUGUAGAUUAAUAGCGCGCGUUGUAGCUCCCCUAUGUUUUUAAUGUGUUCCUAGAGAAAACUAAGUUGAAAGAUGAUAGUAGCAAUGAUGCGGACUGGGUCCGUGAUCUGAGGAUUAUCCUCAUUGCUACACAGAAGAAUUAUGUCCUUGAUGCACGACUAGGUGACAGAACUAUUGCAGGAGCAGAUGCAGACAUUAUGAACGUUUGGCUAGCUCGAUAUCAUAACUACUUAAUAGUUUAGUGCGCCAUGCUUUACGGCUUAGAACCGGGACUUCAAAAACGUUUUGAACGCCACGGAGCAUAUGAGAUGUUCCGAGAGCUGAAAAUUGGUAUUUCAGACUCAUGCCCGCUUCAGGAGGUAUGAGACCUCUGACAAGUACUUUGCCUACAAGAUGGAGGAGAAUAGCUCAGCCAGUGAGCCAGUGGCGUAUCUAGGGGGUGGACAGGGUGGUCCAUGGACCACCCUGGAAUUUCCCCAUAAUAUAUAUAGCAUAGAGAAAAAUAUAUUUUUAUAAUAAAUAAAUAUAUUUAUGUGAAUAUUUUGCAUUGGUGGACCACCCUGGCAUGUUGGGCUAGCUACGCCACUGCAGUGAGCAUGUGCUCAGAAUGUCUGGGUGCUACAAUCGCUUGAAUCAAGUGGGAGUUAAUCUUCCAGAUAAGAUAGUGAUUGAUAGGGUUCUCUUGUCACUAUCACCAAGCUACUAGAACUUAGUGAUGAACUAUAAUAUGCAAGGGAUGACGAAAAUAAUUCCUGCGCUCUUCGCGAUGCUAAAAUCGGCAAAUGUAGAAAUCAAGAAAGAGUAUCAAGUGUUGAUGGUUAAACAAGACCACUAGUUUCAAGAAAAAGUACAAGGGAAAGAAACAGAACUUCAAGAAGAAUGGCAAGCAAGUUGCCACUCCCGUGAAGAAGCCCAAAGCUAUAUCCAAGACUGAAACUGAGUGCUUCUAAUGCAAAGGGAAUGGUAACUGGAAGCAGAACUGCCCCAAACAUUUGGCGGACAAGAAGGAUGGCAAAGUGAACAAAGGUAUAUUUGAUAUCUAGAUUCUUGAUGUGUACCUUACUAGUGUUCGUAGUAGCCCCUGGGUAUUUGAUACUAGUUCAGUGGCUAAGAUUAGUAACUCGAAACAGGAGUUGCAGAAUGAACAGUGACAAAUUAAGGGUGAGUUGGCGAUGUGUGUUGGAAGUGAUUCCAAGGUUGAUAAGAUCACCAUCGCACACUCCCUCUACCUUCGGGAUUAGUGUUGAACCUAAAUAAAUGUUAUUUGGUGUUUGCAUUGAGCAUGAAUAUGAUUGGGUCAUCUUUAUUGCAAUUCGGUUAUUCAUUUAAGUGAGAGAAUAAUUGUUGUUCUGUUUACAUGAAUAAAACCUUUUAUGGUAAUACACCCAAUGUGAAUGGUCUGUUGAAUCUCAAUCAUAGUAAUGCACAUAUUCAUAAUAUUGAUGCCAAAAGAUGCAAAGUUGACAAUGAUAGUGCAACAUACUUGUGGCACUGCCGUUUAGGUCAUAUUGGUGUAAAGCGCAUGAAGAAACUCCAUGCAGAUGGACUUUUGGAAUCACUUGAUUAUGAAUCAUUUGAUACUUGUGAUUCAUGCCUAAUGGGUAAGAUGACCAAAACUCUGUUCUCCGGAACAAUGGAGCGAGCCAAUGACUUAUUGGAAAUAAUACAUACCGAUGUAUGUGGUCCGAUAAGUGAUGAGGCUCGUGGCGGGUAUCGUUAUUUUCUUACCUUCACAGAUGAUUUGAGAAGAUGUGGGCAUAUCAACUUAAUGAAACACAAGUCUGAAAUGUUUGAAAAGUUCAAAGAGUUUUAGAGUGAAGUGGAGAAUCAUCGUAAUAAGAAAAUAUAGGUUCUACAAUCUGAUCGUGGAGGCGAAUAUUUGAGUUACGAGUUUGACCUUCAUUUAAAAUAAUGUGGAAUAGUUUCACAACUCACGCCACCUGGAACACCACAGCGUAAUGGUGUGUCCGAACAUCGUAACCGUACUUUAUUAGAUAUGGUGCGAUCUAUGAUGUCUCUUAUCGAUUUACCACUAUCUUUUUGGGAUAAUGCAUUAGAGACAGCUGCAUUCACGUUAAAUAGGGCACCAUCUAAAUCCGUUGAGACGACACCGUAUGAACUGUGGUUGGCAAGAAACCUAAUCUGUCGCUUCUUAAAAGUUUGGGGAUGUGACGCUUAUGUCAAAAAGGCUUUAGCCUGAUAAGCUCGAACCCGAAGCUAAGAAGUGCGUCUUCAUAGGGUACCCUGAGGAAACCAUCGGGUACACCUUCUACCACAGAUCCAAAGGCAAGAUCUUUGUUGCUAAGAAGGGAUCCUUUCUAGAGAAGGAGUUUCUCUCAAAAGAAGUGAGUGGGAGAAAAGUAGAACUUGAAGAGGUAAUUGUACCUUCUCUUAAUUUGGAAAGUAGCACAUCAGGGAAAUCAGUUCCCGUGAUGCCUACACCAACUAGAGAGGAAGCUAAUGAUGAUGAUCAUGAAACUUCAGAUCAAGUUACUGCUGGACCUCGUAGGUUGAACUGAGCACAUUCCGCACCAGAGUGGUACGGUAAUCCUGUCCUGGAAGUCAUGUUACUAGACCAUGACAAACCUAUGAACUAUGAAGAAGCAAUGAUGAGCCCAGAUUCCGACAGAUGGCUUGAGGCCAUGAAAUUUCAGAUAGGAUCCAUGUAUGAGAACAAAGUAUGGACUUUGGUUGACUUGCCCGAUGAUCGGCGAGCCAUAGAGAAUAAAUGGAUCUUCAAGAAGAAGACUGACGCUGAUGGUAAUGUUACUGUCUACAAAACUCUACUUGUCACGAAAGGUUUUCGACAUGUUCAAGGAGUUGACUACGAUGAGACUUUCUCACCCGUAGCGAUGCUUAAGUCUGUUCGAAUCAUGUUAGCAAUUGCCGCAUUUUAUGAUUAUCAAAUCUUGCAAAUGGACGUGAAAAUUGCAUUCCUUAAUGGAUUUCUUAAAGAAGACUUGUACAUGAUGCAACCAAAAGGUUUUGUCGAUCCUAAAGGUGCUAACAAAGUGUGCAAGCUCCGGCGAUCCAUCUAUGGACUGGUGCAAGCAUCUCAGAGUUGGAAUAUACGCUUUGAUGAGGUGAUCAAAGCAUAUGGUUUUAUACAGACUUUUGGAGAAGCCUGUAUUUACAAGAAAGUGAGUGGGAGUUCUAUAGCAUUUCUAAUAUUAUAUGUGGAUGACAUAUUGUUGAUUGGAAAUGAUAUAUAAUUUCUGGAUAGCAUAAAAGGAUACUUGAAUAAAAGUUUUCAAUGAAAGACCUUGGUGAAGCUGCUUACAUAUUGGGCAUCAAGGUCUAUAGAGAUAGAUCAAGAAGCUUGAUAAGACUUUCGAUGAGUACAUACCUUGACAAGAUUUUGAAGGAGUUCAAAAUGGAUCAGUCAAACAAGGAGUUCUUGCUUGUAUUGUAAGGUGUCAAGUUGAGUAAAGACUCAAAACCCGACCACGACAAAAGAUAAAGAGAGAAUGAAAGUCAUUCCCUAUGCCUCAGCCAUAGGUUCUAUAAAGUAUCCCAUGUUGUGUACCAGACAUAUUGUGUACCUUGCCAUGAGUUUGGCAAGGGGGGUACAAUAGUGAUCCAGGAGUAGAUCACUAGACAGCGGUCAAAAUUAUCCAUAGAAGACUAAGGAAAUAUUUCUCGGUUAUGGAGGUGAUAAAGAGUUUGUUGUAAAGAGCUACAUGGAUGCAAGCUUUUACACCGAUCCACAUGACUCUGAGACUCAAUCUAGAUAUGUAUUGAAAGUGGGAGCAAUUAGCUAGAGUAGCUCUAUGCAGAGCAUUGUAGACAUAGAAAUUCGCGAAAUACAUACGGAUCUGAAUGUGGCAGACCCGUUGACUAAACUUCUCUCACAAGCAAAACAUGAUCACACCUUAGUACUCUUUGGGUGUUAAUUAAAUGGUGAUGUGAGCUAGAUUGUUGACUCUAGUAAACCCUUUGGGUGUUGGUCACAAGGUGAUGUGAACUAUUGGUGUUAAAUCACAUGGCGAUGUGAACUAGAUUAUUGACUCUAGUGCAAGUGGGAGAUUGAAGGAAUAUGCCCUAGAGGCAAUAAUAAAGUUGUUAUUUUAUACUUCCUUAUAUCAUGAUAAAUGUUUAUUAUUCAUGCUAGAAUUGUAUUAACCAGAAACUUGAUACAUGUGUGGAUACAUAGACAAAACACUGUGUCCCUAGUAAGCCUCUACUAGACUAGCUCGUUAAUCAAAGAUAGUCAAGUUUCCUAACCAUAGACAUGUGUUGUCAUUUGAUGAACGGGAUUACAUCAUUAUGAGAAUGAUGUGAUGGACAAGACCCAUCCGUUAGCUUAGCAUAUUGAUCGUUUAGUUUUAUUGCUAUUGAUUUCUUCAUGUCAAAUACAUAUUCCUUCGACUAUGAGAUUAUGCAACUCCCGGAUACCGGAGGAAUACCUUGUGUUCUAUCAAACAUCACAAAGUAACUGGGUGAUUAUAAAUAUGCUCUACAAGUAUCUGUGAAGGUGUCUAUUGGGUUGGCAUAGAUCGAGAUUAGGAUUUGUCACUUCGAGUAUCAGAGAGGUAUGUCCGGUCCUCUCGGUAGUGCACAUCAUAAGAAGCCUUCCAAGCAAAGUGACUAAUGAGUUAGUUACAAGAUGAUGCAUUAUGGAAUGAGUAAAGAGACUUGCUGCUAAUGAGAUUGAACUAAGUAUGAAGACACCGAUGAUCGAAUCUCAGGCAAGUAACAUACCAAUUGACAAAAUGAAUUACGUAUGUUGUCAUAACGGUUCGAUCGAUAAAGAUCUCCGUAGAAUAUGUAGGAGCAAAUAUGAGCAUCCAGGUUCCACUAUUGAUUAUUGACCGAAGAGGUGUCUCGGUCAUGUCUACAUAGUUCUCGAACCCGUAGGGUCCGCACGCUUAACGUUCGAUGAUGAUUUAGUAUUAUAUGAGUUAUGUGAUUUGGUGACUGAAUGUUGUUCGGAGUCCCGGACGACAUCAUGGAUAUGACGAGGAGUCUCGAAAUGGUCGACAUGUAAUGAUUGAUAUAUAGGAUGAUGGUAUUUGGACACCGAAAGUGUUCUAGAAGGUACCAGGUACUUAUUGGGUCACCGAAAGGAGUUUCGGGCACCCCCGGCAAAGAUAUGGGCCUUAUGGGCCAAGUGAGAGAACACACCAGCCCUGGUGCGCCCCUAUAGAGGCCAGCCCUAUGAGGGGGAGAAGGAAAGAGGGGAGGGCAAGGAAAGUGUGGAUUAGGAUUCCUACUUCCUUCCCUCUCCCCCCUCUUUUCUUCCACAUGGUUAUAUAUGGCAGGGGGCGCACGGCUUGGGAGGGACUCCAAGUAGUAUUCCUCCUACUUGGGUGCCUCCUAUGGAUGCUCCUCCCUCCCUACCACCUAUAUAUAUGAGGAGGGGGCGCCUAGCACACAACAGACAAUUGCCUAGCCGUGUGCGGCGCCCCCUCCACAGUUUACACCCUCGAUCAUAUCUCCGUAGUGCUUAGACGAGGCCCUGCGUGGAUCACUUCACCAUCACUGUUACCAUGCCGUUCUGCUGACGGAACUCAUCUACUACCUCGACGUCUUGCUGGAUCAAGAAGGCAUCGGACGUCACCGAGCUGAACUCGUGCAGAACUCGGAGGUGCCGUGCAUUCGGUACUUGAUCGGUCAGAGCUAGAAGAAGUUUGACUACAUCAACCGCAUUGUCAAACGCUUCCGCUUACGGUCUACAAGGGUACAUAGACACACUCUCCCCCUCGUUGCUAUGAAUCUUCUAGAUAGAUCUUGCGUGAGCGUAGGAAUUUUCUUGAAAUUGCAUGUUACGUUUCCCAACACUCAGGCGGGUGCCCGGAAUGGACCGAGAUAAAGAAGAACCGGCUGGGUCACCGGUAGUGGCCCUCUUGGGACCCAAGCGGCGAUGGCCUCCCAUGUUCUACUUUUUGUCGAUGAUGGCGGCGGGCGCACACGUGAUGGCCACCACCUCGGCGACAUCCACGUAGCCGACUUCUUUCUCUACUAGCAUGGUGCGGUCACAUGCAUUGGAGACGGCGAUGGCCGUGCCGCCAUGCUCCCUGCCGUGCUGGCCUGGAAGAACUCGCCACUCCUUCGCGAGCUGGCUUGGAGCAGCAUGUUAUUGAACCACACGCCGGCUUGGGCAACAACUUGCUCCGUCGGGCUAUGUGAGGGAGGUGAAGCAGUGAGUUGCCUCGCUCAUAUCCGCCGGGCUCAGCGGCUACCUAGCCGGCUUUUAUGCCGGAGAACUGCUCUUCCUGCUCGUCGGGUGCCAUCGAAAGAGUGGAGAAAUGGUGGAAGGAGGAGGAGAUGGGGGAGCGGCGGAGUGGUGCGAUUCUUGCCCGUCGUCUGGCCUCGUUUAAGUAGAGGGCGGGCGGCAGGAGCUUGCCCGACAUUGUGUUUAAUGUCGGACCGCUCGUGAAUGGAUGUGUGGACGGAGUAAGUUUCUCAGCUUCCACGCGGGUUUAAUAGAGGUGUUUGAAUGCUGCGAGGAGGCGUGUUCAGCUGGGUGUGCAGCGAGCGGCGCCCUCGGCCAGCGUGCCGCUUUAAUGGAGGAGGUAGUGAGAGGUCACGUCGCCCUUUGCCGCCUUCAAUGUGGAGUGGCACGCUCUACAAUAGCAUGAAUGCAGGAAGCUGGCAGCGAGCGGGAAGAGCGCGUGGGAGGGUGGAGGGGUUUUUUGUUGGGCGAGGGCGGUCAGAAGUGGGUGUGACAGCGGUCCAGACUCCCGCAAACCUCCCCCAUGUUUGUCUCUAGUUUGCGGGAGAAAAUGUGUCCGAACCAUGCCACGGACCGAUACAUGACCAUGUUGGAUGGCUUCCGCAAUCCGGACUAAUGUGGGAGGUUUGCGGGUCGGCGUUGGAGAUGCCCUAAGAGACCAUAUCUAUGCUCUGAAAAAAAGCUGAGAGACGGAAAAUAUACUUUCCCCAUAAAUAAUUGAUUACCCUAGGAACGACAAACAUGUGCUCCCAAUCUAAACACUUAUAUAUUUCUUUACAGAGGGGGUACAAAGCAAAAGCAUAAUCAUUCUGUCCACAUAAUAAGGGAAAGGAGUUGGUUGUUAGAAGUAUAAUCAUGUUUGAGGUAGAGAUAAGAAUGCAAUAGAAUAGUUUACUAUGACUUGUCUUGUACUCCAAAUCUACCUCCCCAUGUACUUCUACUUCUAUAUAUACCCCAUAUGAGGGUCAAAUCAGCAGAACAUACAACAUAAACAUUAGCGAUCCUACAAUUUCUACAUGGUAUUAAAGUGGUUAGUAUCACAACACCGAUCCUAGGUUCCCCCACCACUUUCGCAGCGUGCCACCCCAGGGAGAUUAAUCUUCUUUCCCAGGGACGCAACACUCAAUCAAUCAAGGAUUCGAUUGAUUCCUUAGAUUAUAUCAAUUUCUUAGAUCAGAUCAAUUCCAAGUUCUAAAAUUCGACUAGAUUGAUUUCUUUUGGCCACCAGUAAAUCCCUCAACACUUAAAAUACAAUGAAAAUCAGUGCAAAGAUCAUCAUCCAAAACUCCAUCGACUCCUACGGGUGUCGAGCCAUCAAAGAUGCAGUUGAUGAUGAUGCAGCGGAGAAGACGGCGAAAGCACAAAACUUUAAAUUUAGUCACAACUGUCUGGUUCACUUCCGCUCGGGCUGAGGGCGAUGUUAGAAGUAUAAUUGUGUUUAAGGUAGUGAUAAGGAUGUAGAGAUAGAAUAUGUUAAACAUACUAUGACUUAUCUUGUACUCCAAGUCUACCCCACCAUAUACUUUUAUAUAUACUGCAUAUGAGGGUCAAAUCAAUAGAACAUACAACAUAAACAUUAGCCAUCCUAAAAUUUCUAUAAGGUAGGCUGAAUAACGUACGUGUUCACACUUCACACCCAUCAAUUAACCAGAGAAGUCACGAAGCACGAGAUAUGCAUUCAAUCCUCCGUGCAUUGCUAGAAAUCUUCUGUUAGGCCUUUCUAAAUGGAGUGGUUGAUUUCUUAGUAUCCGCUUAUGCUCCAUGGAUGCCCAUGUGAGAAAAAUCAGCGGCUCAACAAUGUAAGAGUUUCUUAUAUGUUUCCUUAAUUCUAAGUGAAAUCUAGAAACUAUUUUGUUACAGGAAAUCCACAAACUUUUUGUGCGUCUAAGAUUGCAUAUAUCAACCCUGCUUAAAAAAUCUACCAAAAAGGUCGCGCUGCUGCCGCUGCAAAGGGGCGGGUAGGGAUCCGGUCUUGCUCGGCCUCCGUUUACCGUGGCCCAUGGGCGGGAGGUUGCACAGGUCAGGGAAUUUGCGAACGGUGGCCGGGGUCCUCCCCGAGGGCAGUGGGGUGAUGACAGGUUCAAUGCAUACGGAGAUGGCCAACGUCGGGGCUCCUCGCCGACGGGCGGCAGACACGGCUAUGCUUGGCAAAGUGAUGGCUCGUCUGAUCGUCCAUUCUAUGGUCCUCCGAGAGACUAUGUGGAGGGUGUGUCGGGCCCGGAUUACAGGCAGCACGAAGGCUAUCGGGGCUUCCGCGGAGGUAGGGGGUAGCCGACGGCCUCCACAACAUCUCCAACGGCAGCCUCCACCACCGGUUUCUAUGGACAGUGAGAACCCCGUGGAGCCGGUGGCCUCUUAGGGGACUGUUGAUGUUGCACAGCCACCGGUUUUGACGGGUCAGGUCAUGGCGUCAGUGACAGCACUUGCAACCGCGAAGGUGCCGGAGGCCGAGCCAAUUGCAAUAGAUAGUGACAAAGUGACAGAUAAACCGGAUGGAGAUAGAGCAGCCAAGUGGGCUCGGAUGAAAGAGAAAAUGCUUUGCUAUCGCUGCGGUGAGCAGGGUCAUUUUAUUGCUAAAUGUACUAUAGAGCUUUGUGAUAAUUGCCUCCAACCAGUGCACGCUUCGGGAGAGUGUCCAUAGUUGCGGCAGCCGAUGCCGGGGGUCACCAUAUAUGGAGUAUGAUGCUCUGAACUGAUGUUUUUUGAGUCUCCCAGCAUGGUUGCUAUCCCGGAUACACUGCAGAUUUCGACCACGGGGGUGGUCAAAGUGACAAAUGGUUUCUUGUCAGAGGCGCAGAUCGUGCAAAGGUAGAAUGAACUUGUUGCAGGGAAUUCUCGUUGGGAGCUUAUUAGACUUGAGGAUAACCUGUAUAAGGUGGAUUUUCCAUCAACAGAGUUCCUGAAGAAGCUCCUGAGUUUUGGCAUGUGUCCAGUGCCUCGCACGAACUGCAUACUAGAGUUUGAUGAAUGGAAGAAAACAGAGCCAAUGGGCACAUCAUUUAUCUCAGGUCUGGGUAUGCUUUUCAGGGGCACCGUCUAAGCCUCUGAAUGAUGUUCGGGUAGCAGGCAGCCUUGGGAUGCUCAUUGGUAAGACUGAACAUGUGGAUAUGCCUUUUACUCAAGCACAGGGGGUGGCCAGGCUGCUCGUGAGUGUCGUGGACAUGGAGUACACACCGUAUGUGGUCAGAUGGACGCAUGCGGGCAUGAUAUACAACCUAGACAUUGAGCUGGAGGAUUCUGAUAUGUUCAAGGAGUUAAAUGGAGGGGAAGAUGUGGAUAUGAUCGAUAAGGACGAUGGUACGGGUAACAAUGAGAAGCGAGAUGAGGACGGAUCACGGGACGAGUCUCACAUGCUGGGUGGAAAACCCGCACCGUCCGUGCGAGGGAAGGUCGCGCCACCACCUACUUCUACACCCAUGAACUUGCUGAGAUUUGGUAUGCUUGAGUCUUGUUCUGCGCCUCCUCGCCUCUGGAGUGAUCGCGUUGAGAGUGAUGAUAUUUCUGAGAGCUUGUUGCUGCCUCUUAUUAUGACACCUCCUUCUCGAGCUGGCGGCAAGACGGCGAGGUUGAAGGAGGUUUCUGGUUAGGGCCGUGAUGUAAUAACCCCGCGACAGCCGUUGGGGGACGGGGUGGGGGAAGGUGACGCUGGGUAGGAGGCCCGGGGUCGGUCACCCACAUGGAUUACUGCAUGGCAACCGGGGGGUUCCUCCCGGCAUUAUAGCUAUGGGGCUGGCGAGGGUGGGUGGCGGGCAGGUGGCCCAUGACUCACCCGUUUGUAGCCCAGGGCCUCGGUCGACUCUGGAGCUCACUGGCGUGGUUGGACCGGAGGAGGAGGCGCUAUGACGAGGUGCAGGGGCGUCCUGUUGGCCUCAUCUACUGCACCUGGACUCAUGACGACAGACGGUCCUGUGGCGACGGUCCUUUCCUCGCGGGCGUGGACUACUAAGGAGUUGAUCACGUUUGGUGGCCACCAGGACCCGGUGUCGGCUGGCAGGCAUGUCAGUAACUAGAUCCAGAACCAACCUGACACGGACGACUUCCAUCUAGGGCGUGCUAUGAGGGCCGCCAAGCUUCGGGACAUUGAGUCUACUUCAGGUAUGUCAGUCAAUAAGCAAUGUUCUAUUAUGCAUUUUUCUGAGCAUGAGAUUAUAAGUAAGGUAAAUGAUAUAGGACUCUCACUUGGGUCUAAUAGGAAAGAGAUUGCUAAAUCAGUAAAUGAUAUACUAGACUUAAAGGCUGAGAGAGCGUCUGAGUUGAUAUGGAAUUUAGCAGUUGUUAAAUCUAUGACGGAUAGUGAGAUUAGCAAUUUUGGUAUGUCUGCGCUAGAGAGUUUGUGUGACGGACUAAUGCCUACUUCGGAGGCCGAAGAUGAGGCAGGUGGUUGGCGUCCGAGGGACGUGCUGACUUGCCUAAUUUAGCGUCGUAUGCACUUAUGACAACUAGUCAUGAGGAUGGGCGGUUGGUAGUGAGUAACUCAAACAUUCCUGGAAGAGGAAGAUAUAUCCAACAUCGGCUGUUCACAGAAGUGCGAGAGUCAAUCUCAAGAAAAAAAUUCCAUGAUGAAUAAUGAAAUGGAUUUUCUGGAAUAGCAGAGGUCUAGCUGACUUGGCUAAGAAAAGGUUCCUGGCUGAAGCAUCCAUUGAGGAUAAACUGGAUUUCAUUGCACUUCCUGAGACAGGUAGAGAUAACUUUACCUCGCAAUUCCUCGGAUAUUUGACUGGAGGAAUAGAUUUCGACUGGCAUUGUUUGCCCCCUAGGGGAAGAUCCGGUGGGAUUCUUUUGGGGGUUAAAGUGUGAAACACUAGAAGUGUUAAAUGUCAUGCGAGGGGAUUAUGCAGUUACGUUCCGGGUAAGGUCCAAGUUGGAUGAAUUCUGAUGGGCUCUGGUAGCGGUGUAUGGCGCAGCCCAUACCGAAUUUAAGCCUGAUUUCUUGGUUGAUCUUGUUCGGAUCUGCGGGGAUGAGAGGCUACCGAUUCUAGUGGGAGGAUAUGCUAAUAUCAUUAGGAGGAAAGAAGAGAAGAACAAUGAUAAUUUUGAUGGGCCGUGGUCCCUCCUGUUUAAUAUGAUCAUUGAGAGUCUUAACCUCUGAGAGAUUGAACUCGCGGGUAGGCAGUUCACCUCGGCAAAUUCGUUACCCAUUCCUACUUACGAGAAGAUGCACAGAGUGCUUACAAAUGUGGAAUGGGAACAGAAAUACCCACUAGUAUCGAUUGACGCGAUGCAGAGGGCAAUCUCAGACCAUACACCCUUGUUAGUGGACUCGGGUGAAGCAACACAUAUUGGUAAGAAAAAGAUUUUCUCUUUCGAACUAACUUGGUUCGAACGAGAAAAUUUUCUAGAAAUUGUUGCAAGAGAAUGGGCUAAGCCUGUUGCCGGUAGAUCCGGUGUAGAGCGCUGGCAGAACAAGAUAAGACAUCUGAGACAAUUUUUGAGGGGUUGGGCCAGAAAUGAGAACGGGAUAUAUAAACAAGAAAAUGAACGGCUUAUCCAGUUGAUUCAUGAUCUCGACUUGAGAGCGGAAACGAAUCUGCUGGAUGAGAUAGAACAGGUCGUAAAGUCCAAAGCUAAGUUGAACCUACGUGCUCUCCUUCGAGAAGAAGAAAUUAAGUGGGCAUUACGUGCUAAGGUUCUUAAGGUCGUCCAAGGGGAUGAUAAUACUCAGUUUUUCAUAUGAUUGCAAAUGGUAAACAUAAGAAAAAGAAAAUCAUCCAGCUUGAGCAACAUGAGGGAACAGUGGUGGGACACAAGAAUCUCAAAUUAUAUAUAUCCAACUAUUACAAGCAACUUUUUGGGCCUCCGGUAGAUAACCCGGUGUCCUUGGAUGAAUGUGUAGUUGGGGACGUACCUCAGCUCCGGUCAGAUGAGAAUGAGAUUUUAUCUGCACCUUUUACUGAGAAAGAGGUUUUCAAGGCGAUCUCUCAUAUGAAGCCAAAUAAACCACCAGGUAUGGAUGGGUUUCCCACGGAAUUCUAUAAGAAAUGUUGGCAUAUUGUGAAGGAUGACCUUAUGCCUAUGUCUCAUGACUUCUUUAAUGGCCAUCUGCAACUGUUCCACCUCAACUUUGGCACGAUCGUGUUGUUGCCAAAGAAAUAGGAAGCAAUUCGAAUAGAGCAAUUCAGGCCAAUAUGUCUUCUGAAUGUGAGUUUCAAGAUUUUUACGAAAGUGUCCACAAACAGAUUGGCAUGGAUUGCCCAUUCGAUGGUGCAACCUAGUCGGACUGCUUUCAUGCCUGGAAGACAUAUCCUAGAGGGGGUUGUUGUCUUACAUGAAAUUCAUUCGAAGAAACUAGAUGGGGUAAUCUUCAAAGUGGAUUUUGAGAAGGCAUAUGAUAAGGUCAAAUGGCCAUUCCGGCAACACGCCAUGCGCAUGAAGGGUUUGAAUGGAGCAUGGAGGGAUAGGGUGGAUUCUUUUGUCCAAAAAGGUAGUGUCGAGAUUAGGGUGAAUGAUGACAUUGGUCACUAACUAUUUCAAGACGCAUAAAGGCCUACGACAAGGAGACCCAAUGUCCCCUAUUCUAUUCAACAUCGUGGCAUACAUGUUGACAGUGCUCAUAGGUCGGGCCAAGGAAAAAGGCCUGGUAGGUGGUUUUGUCCCCCAUUUGGUGGAUGGGGGCGUUUCUAUCCUACAAUAUGCUGACAACACUAUCCUAUUCAUGGAGCAUGACCUUGCAAAAGCGAGGAAUAUGAAAUUAGUGUUGUGCCCUUUUGAACAAUUUUCCAGUCUGAAAAUUAACUUUCAUAAGAGUGAAUUGGUUUGCUUUGGUCGGGCCAAGGAAGAACAAGACAACUAUAGAGAAUUGUUCGAUUGUGAACUGGGAUCUUUGCCUUUCAGCUAUCUAGGCAUUCCAAUACAUCACCGGAAAUUAACUAAUAAAGAGUGGAAAUGUAUCGAAGAUUGAUUUGAGAAAAAAACUAAGCUGCUGGAAGGGUAAGCUUAUGUCAUAUGGAGGGUGGCUAGUGCUGAUUAAUUCAGUCCUGGCCAGUAUGUCGAUAUUCCUUCUAUCUUCCUUUGAAAUACCUAAGGGGGUACGAAAGAGACUAGACUUCUAUCGAUCUCAAUUUUUCUGGCAGUCAGACGAGGUUAAGACAACAUAUCACUUGGCAAGAUGGGAUAUAAUUUGUCGACCCAAAGACCAGCGGGUCUUGGGAUUGAGAACCUCAAGAUUAAAAACAAAUGCCUAUUGAGAAAAUGGCUGUAUAGGUUAUCUCAAGGAUCGGGUGGCAUGUGGGCACAAAUUCUACGGACUAAAUACCUACACUCUAAAACUCCGGCUCAGGUUACCGUAAGACCUAAUGAUUCACCAUUUUGGAAGGGGCUCAUGAGAAUUAAAGAUACUUUCUUCCAUAGGGUGAGUUUCAUUGUCGGGGAUGGAACGACAACAAGGUUUUGGGAGGAUACUUGAUUAGGCGAGACGCCGUUAGCCCUGCAAUAUCCUACCUUGUAUAAUAUUGUGCAAUGUAAGGAGGAUUAUGUGGCAACAAUAUUGCAGACGGUACCUUUGAAUAUCUAGUUUCGGAGGGCUUUAGUAGGGGAACAAUGGAACUCAUGGUUGCACUUGGUGCAGAGGUUGAUGGACGUUCAAAUCUCAGACCAAGCAGACGCCGUGAAAUGGAAGCUAACAAUGAAUGUAGUGUUUUCAAUUAAAUCUAUGUACUUAGACCUUAUUAAUUCUGGCCCAAUCCCAAGACCGAUACACAUUUGGAAAGUAAAGGUUCCCUUGCGCAUUAAAAUUUUCAUGUGGUUUGUCCACAAGCAGGUGAUUCUUACUAAAGAUAACUUACUAAAGCGACGAUGGGUCGGCAGUCCAUGAUGUUGUUUUUGUGUUCAUCAUGAAACAAUCCAACAUUUAUUUAUUGAUUGUCCUCUAGCAAAGUUACUUUGGCGAUCUAUACAUAUAGCCUUUAACAUCACGUCGCCGGAUAGCAUAGAUGCGUUGUUUGGGAUGUGGCUAAAUGGGAUACAACCUGAGAUUGCGUCAAGUAUUCGGAUUGGAAUAUGCACACUUCUUUUGGCUAUAUGGAACUACAUGAAUGAUAUGAUUUUUAACAGGUUACAUAUUUUGAACUUCUUGCAGGUUAUUUUUAGAGCUACGGCAUGGAUCCGUACGUGGUUGUUACUCACUCCUAUGGCUCCAGGGAGCAUUUGGCUAUUGGGUGCAACCGAUGGAUGGUAGCACGGGCUAUCUUCAACCAGUUUGAAUGGCAGUCGCAUAAUAGGAUAGGUCCUUAAUGUCCUUUCAUCCAGCCGGUUGUGGCUAUGAUUUAUUUUCUUAGCUUUUUUCAUUUGUGCUCCCUUUGUGAGUUGUACUCCGGAUUCCAUACUUUGUGUUUUGCCGAACUUGUUUAAUAAUAUGGCCGCAUGCAUCUUAGGCGAUAACCUCCUUUUAAAAAAAUUGCCUUCAGCUUGCACCGUGAUUAAUUUGUUGUACAUGUCGCGUUUGUGUAUGUAGUUGUGUUCUUGGUGCACUCCAAAAUACACAUGGUAUACUACCUUGAAUCUUUAUAUAAGAACAAUCUCAUGCAUUUUAUAUGAAGGAAGUAUGAAAAUCGACCGACUCAAAAAAUUUAAACUGUUUUCAAUGAAAAUAAAACUGGAGUUUUCGGGGUGAAGAGAAAUUAGGCACAUGAGGGUUGCUAGCUUGUUCCUAUCACAAAAUCUGAAGGACCAGCUACUUUUCGUGCACAGCGACAGUAGCCUCCCCGUUGCUAGUUCCAAAAAGCCUCCUCGUUGCCAGCUUUUGUUGAGCUCCAAUGCCUUCACCUUGCAUGGUGCAAGUAGGAGCAGCUGCUCCGCUGCUGCCUUGUCCUGCAUGUCAGGAACUGGCUAAGCUUAUCACUGAAUUUUGUAUGAGAACAAUACUUGAUCAUAUUUGAUUCCAAAAAAUAUUCAAAACUUUUUAACUUUUUUCGAAAAUGAUAAUUACUAAUUUAUUUGGUGCAUAUAGGAUGCACUGGUACCCCAGAGCACCAAGUUCGCUUCUGAGAGCACCCUGGCAGCGCUCCCAAGAGCACCCAAAUGGAGGAUUAUAUAAAAGAUUACAACCCAUACAACUCGGUACCAGGUGAAAAGCAAAUUGUAAAGGAAAAAGGUAGAGGUGAGUGAAAGCACAGUGCUCCCUGGGUGAUUUUGGUAAAUAAUAUCAACAUAUCUCUUGUUGGACUAAUGUUUUCAUCUAGUAUAUUUCAGACAAGUUCAACAGAUGGAGUGGCGUGGACAAGAGGAUGUGGAACCCCUUCAAAAUUCCAAGGACAAAAGAUUGGCUCAAGCUCUCAAGCUCAAGACUCUACAUUUUACCUUUGGUGAUCCAAGAUCACAUUGAGUCCAUCGGAAAAGCCAAUACUAUUAAAAGGGGAUGAGGGUGUUGCUUAAUGGCUUGCUUGCUCUAAGUGCUUAGUGAUAUGCUCCAAAAACCCUCAACCACUUUAUCAUAUCCACAUAUGUCCCAAACCAAAAGUCAAACUUGGCCCCACCGAUUUAAUCCAUCCAGGCGCCACCGAGUUCUCUUGACAUAGCCACUACCACAAACCCUAAUCAAUUUGGUCUCACCGAUGGGAUCUCGUUCUCACCGAGAUGGGCUUACAAACUCUCUGUUACCUAUUGCAAUAAUUUCGGUCCCACCGAGAUAUGCAAUCGGUCCCACCGAGUUUGCUUGACCAACUCUCUGUUUUUCUUAUUACCAAAAUCGGUCUCACCGAGUUUGUGUAGUCGGUCAAAUCGAGAUGAGGUUUUACCCUAACCCUAGCACAUCGGUCCCACCGAGUUGAUCAUAUCGGUCCCAUCAAAAUGCCUAACGGUCACAUUAUGAACUAAAUCGUUCUGACCGAGUUUUCUAAUUCGGUCCCACUGAGUUUGGUGAUUUGUGUGUAACAGUUAGAUUUUGUGUGGAGGCUAUAUAUACCCCUCCACCAACUCUUCAUUCGUGGAGAGAGCAAUCAUAACAUGCCUACACUUCCAACAUUCAUUUUCUGAGAGAGAACCACCUACUCAUGUGUUGAGACCAAGAUAUUCCAUUCCAACCAUAUGAAUCUUGAUCUCUAGCCUUCUCCAAGUUGCUUUCCACUCAAAUAUUCUUUCCAACAAAUUCAAAUCAAUGAGAGAGAGUUGAGUGUUGGGGAGACUAUCAUUUGAAGCACAAGAGCAAGGAGUUCAUCAUCAACACACCAUCUAUUACCUUUUGGAGAGUGGUGUCUCCUAGAUUGGUUAGGUGUCACUUGGGAGCCUCCGUCAAGAUUGUGGAGUUGAACCAAGGAGUUUGUACGGGCAAGGAGAUUGCCUACUUCGUGAAGAUCUACCCUAGUGAGGCAAGUCCUUCAUGGGCGAUGGCCAUGGUGGGAUAGACAAGGUUGCUUCUUCGUGGACCCUUCGUGGGUGGAGCCCUCCGUGGACUCGCGCAACCGUUACCCUUCGUGGGUUGAAGUCUCCAUCAACGUGGAUGUACGAUAGCACCAUCUAUCGGAACCACGCCAAAAAUCUCCAUGUCUUCAAUUACGUUUGCAUACUCCAAUCCCAUCCCUUUACUUUCUUGCAAAUUGCACGCUUUACUUUUCGCUGCUCAUAUACUCUUGCCAUGAUUGCUUGAAUGUAUUGUGGAUGUUUAAACUUGUGCUAAAACUCUACCUUAUCUCGAAGAAAAUAAAAACUGCAACUUUUCUUUGUUAGGAGUCUAUUCACCCACACCCCCCCCCCUAGACACCUCUUCUCGAUCAUUUCAGUGAGCUUUUGGAUUGGAGAUUGAUGCCAGAGAAACCUUCUGAAACACAGAGAGGGCAAAUGUCAAUAAUCUUCAGACAAGUUUAGAGAAGGAUCGUUGACUAGUUCUACAAACCUGACAUUCGAUCUGCCGAUCCACUACGUGGCAUAGGCAUAGUGAAAUGCGUGGGCACAUGGUAGUUCGCCAUACCCUCGUCAUUUUGGUACUCGCCAAGGCAUCUGCCACAGUUUCAUGGUGGAUUGAACAACCAACUGGAAAGAAAAGACUGUAUACAGUAAGCUUUCUAUACAAUCUUACGUGGUAAAAAAAUCUCGUUUGUGCUUGGGGGGCAUGCCCCCCUUAGACCUUCACGUAACUCUGUUGUUGGCUAUUGAUCUAUCAAGCAUGCUUGUGAGCAUGUCUGUCUAUUGAAAACAAAAACAAAGCAUGUCAGUCUUCCACUUACUGUGGUUGUUCUCCUCACACUCUGGAGUAAUAUCUCAAAUGGACUGGUUGCUUGGCGCAGCCUGAACUCCAGCUGUCACUGGAUUGGGCCUCCUCCAAUCGUUGGUAGAUGACGCUCACACUACUGUCUGGCAGAUAGGGCAGAUGGCCUGACAGCCGCCGAUCCACUAUCGGGCACAUCCAUAGUGGAAGAUGUGCCCGCGGUGGAGGGAUGCCAUCUAAUCCUCGUCCUCAUACUCAUCGGAGCAGAUGCAACACUCUGAGUCAUCGUCUUGGGUCUAUCGUGUAACAUGCAGCUCAGUGAAGACCACCUUCAGGAUCCUGCCCACGACACUAUGAAAAGAGCCUGCCUCUCGUCUCUUGGCAACGCAUCUGAGCAUUGCAUGAUAGAAGACAAAUGCCAAUACUAUCAGCACAAAAAGCCUGCCUAAGCUCCCCGCAAUCCCAAGACUCUCCCUGUCAUUGUUGCUAACAUGUACAAGUUGCCCCCACUGUACCAUUGAUGAAACACAACUGAAAAGUAUACGGAGUUGAGAGUUAGUUUGUUAACACACAUGGGCAUUUUCAACUAAAAAUGUAAGUGUAGCGGUGUGCCAGGCCGUUUUGAGUGGCAUAGCGCAGCUACCUACUCAGAAGUGUACCUAUAGAAUGCUCUCGAAAGAGAUUGACUCUCAUCAUGUCACGGCGGCGCUGCCCUGGAAUAUGGACAAUUUCCCUUGUAAAUACUUGGGAUGGCAACUUCCUAUCUGGCAGCUCACUAGAUCUGAGUGGCAGCCUAUCAUGGACAUAGUUUUGAAGUUCCUUCCAGGCUGGCAGAAAGGUAUGACCACUAGAGUUGGGAAGCUGAUUCCGGUGAACAUAGUUGUUCGAGCUAAAACUACGGACCAUCUUCUAGUGGGUUGUGCAACGAGUAGACAAAGGCUCCAGGGAAAUUUUGGGGGGAAGGAUCUGAGGAGAUUCAUGGUGGGAAGUGUCUCGUUGUAUGGCGGAAUGUUUGCAGACCGAAAUACCUAAGAUGCGAACAUUCAGACAGAAUGUAUAUGCAGGCGGGUUGGAUACCUUACUGGAGAGGUCGUCGGAGAUGAGGGAGUUCUUGUAGAGGCAGGUGGGGAAGACAUAGGGAGUGGAGAGGGAGAGGGAGAUGGUGAGGGAGAGAGGGGGCUUAAGAUGAGUGCUUGGCAUAGGUUGACGGCAAGGGAGAAAUAGAAGCUGAAAGCGACGGCUAACAACAAUUUAGUACUCCCUCUGUCCCAAAAUAUAAGAACGUUUUUCACACUACACUAGUGUAAAAAACGUUCUUAUAUUAUGGGACGGAGGGAGUACAAAUGUGGUACUACAAUAAAACACAUGUCACUUUUACUUCGAGUGCAUACAAGGCUUGAUAAAAAGUUUGACUUGGAACAAAGCUAAACCUUGAAUUAAUAUGGAAUGGAAGGAGUACUUAGUUAUUUAUGAAGAUGCUGCUAUUUCAAAAGAUUCUAUCACAAAGUCACGCUGGAUAGUGCAUAAUCAGAAACAAGAGACAACCAUUUAUAGGAAACAUAAAGCCGUGUAUUCCUAGAAUAUUGCUGUAACAACACCGCUACGCUUUCUAUUGCACUUAAUGCUGCAACCUUCCCUCGUUAGUGCCAAUACAGCAGGUUCCCACAUUUCUAAAAUCGAAACCUUCAAAAUUAAUGAUAAGAAGAGUUUCCCACGAUUAUAUGACAUAAAGAAAAGUGUAGCGAAAUUCGUUGAGCCAUGGACAGACCACAGACAGAAGAACUUCAUAAGACACAUGGCCAACUAAAAAAGGGCUUGCUUGAUAAGCUCCUUAGUUUCAAGAUCUGCACAGAUAGUGAUUCUGUACUCAGAAAUAUGUAUGUAUGGUUCUUCAAAUAUUUUCUCUUGUUAUAAUUAAACAAAACAGUUGCAGAACUAACAUUAUUCAAGAAAUUCAUUAGGAGGCAUGGAGCUGAGAUACAUCACUAGCUGAAACAAAACAUAUGCAGCUUGAAUACGAAAAAAAAACAAAACAUAUGAUAUUCACAAAAAAGGAAAGAAAACAUAUGCAACUUGAGUACAAAAGUUUACGUCUAUCUCAGCAUACUCACCGCAAGGGAUUUUUCUUUGCUCAUUAGCAUAAAUCUUCCAGAUGCCCCUUGCAAAAGAGGAGAAAAGCUUCAGAUAGAGUUAAAUAUAAUGAGCAUCCUACUGAACGUUAUAAUGGUUAAUUCUUUUAUAGUAUUUUUCUUGAAUACGCAUAGCAUGCCUAUCAUCUAUUAAAGGAGAAUAAUAUGGUACAAGAGCCCUCCACAUAGGGUGUUAUAACACACCCAUCCACCUCUACUCUAUCUACUUAAGCUACGUCUCGUUUGUUGCCCACACAUGGAUCCACCCAAAGAAAUGGUCUAAGUUCGCCCUCAGCAAGCCCGCCAUCUUCCAAGCUCUACCCUCACUUAGAACCCUACCUAGGAGCCGCUCUAGCUAUGGCGACUCUCCAUCAAAAACAGUGUCGUUACGGUGUUUCCAUAACCCCCAUAGACAGAGAGUAAGGAUUGCACGCAAAUCCUUGUCAUGCAUGCCCUCCACUCUUCUGUUCAAGAUCCACGCCGGAAGGAUGUCCUCCUGAGUUGGUGUCCAUUUCGGCAUGCCCAAUGCCGUGCACACCUGGAGCCAAAAAGUUCUCAAGAAGACACAUUGUGGUUUAAUGUUUCAUCCUCUUGGUUGCAUAGAGUGCAAACGUCUUGAUGCGGUAGCCCCCUCCUGGCCAAGCGGUUCGAUGUCCAGCAUAUCUUCCUUCCUAUUAGCCAUACAAAAAAUCAGCGUUGUAAGGGUGCUUGAGACUUCCACGUAAACUCGACCGUUGGGGCUAUUUGUCGUCUCACAAAUUUCGAUACACACGCCGAUCGGGCAGAAUAGAUUCCUUCGGUCUCCCAUGCUCAUUUCACCAUGUCCGGGACUCCUUGUAGCUGCAUUGCCUCAGCUCUCGAACUUAACAACAUAUACUCCACCAACAUAUCAAAGUCUACGUCAGGCCCAAUGAUGUUUGCCCACGAUCGGUUCUCCAUAGGUUGUACGUACGCGUAGUUGAGAGUGUACCCGAGCUGGAACCUAGGCAUAUACCUUCGGUGCAAUUUCCUUGAUUCUCUAGCCGUUUAUCCAUGUAUCCUCCCAAUAAAUGUUUGAAAAAUGUUUUCAGAUUUUAAAAAGUUUCAUGAAUUUAUUUAAGAUUUUUCUAGAAGUUCAAAAAAUGUGUGUAAGUACAAAAAAAAUUGUGAAUUUCAAAAAUGUUUGUUAAUUCCAAUAAUGCUCAUGAAUUCAAAAAAUUGUUCAAAUGUUUUUAAUAAAUGUUUCUAAAUUUCAAAAAAUGUUCGGUAAUUAAAAAAUGUUUGCGGUCUCGGAAAUGUGUAUGUACCUACGCAAGCUGUACAGGUCAUAUACACACCAUCCGUUGGGAGGCACACUACUUUGAGAUCUAUGCAGCUAUGCACCAGAGGGCACUGUGCUACGGGUUUUUGUGCAUAUUCAUAAGUUGGAAAAGUAGCAACGGGACACAUGGAGGAUGUGGUUACUCUCAUAAUGGUUCUAGAGUGAUCGUGACUAAAUUUUUGUACACAUACCUAAAAAAAGUUAUCACAAAAGUUUUUCUUUGUCACUUUAGUUUAUCAACUUGAUUUCUCAAGGACAAGCAAUAAGCUAAGAUUGGGGGAGCUCAUACGCCUCACACGUAUCUACUUUUUCGGGCACUAUUGCUAUGAUUUUGUCCUCUAACUUGCAUGAUUUGAGUAAAAAAUAAUCAGAAUUGGCUUUGUUUUCAGCAGAAUUGGCAUUAGUGUUAUUUUUGUGCAGAAAUGAAGUUUCCCACAAAAAAUAAGAAAAAUACCAAAAAUUCUUGUCGGAGAAAAGAGCCAUGGAGCCAGAAGAUGAGUCGGGGGCGCACCAGGUGGCCCCAAGGGCCCACCAAGCGGCCCGGGGGCGGGUGGCCCCCAUGGUUAUCGCCUUACGUCCCCCGUUUAGCAUAUAUUUACCCUCCGCCUCAACAUGUUUAACCUGUUUUAUUGGGAUAUUUUGUGAUGCGGAGCAACGAUUGCUUGUAUCAACAUUGGUAUUUCCCAGAAGAGGAGAGGAUGACGCAUCACAUCAUCGGUAAGUAUUUCCCUCAGUUAUGAAACUAAUAUUAUCAAUCCAGUAGGAUAACCAAGCAACACUAUGUUAACACCUGCACACAAAUAACAAGUACUUGCAACCCAACGCUUAAGAGCGGUUGUCAAUCCCUCCUCGGUAUUGAGAUAGAUUAAAUUGUAUGAGAUUGGAUAAAUAGAUCUAGAAAAAAAAAACUAAAAUAAAUAAAGAAAAAGUGCAGCAAGGUAUUUUUGGGCUUUUACAAUAAUAGAUUUAAAAACAAUAUGAUAGGAAAUAGACCCGGGGGCCGUAGAUUUCACUAGUAGCUCCUCUCGAGAAAAUAGCAUACAGUGGGUAAACAAAUUACUGUUUGGCAAUUGAUAGAAGUGCAGAUAAUUAUGACGAUAUCCAAGGCAAUGAUCACGUAUAUAGGCAUCACGUCCAACAUUAGUAGACUGACUCCUGCCUGCAUCUACUACUAUUACUCCACACAUCGACCGCUAUCCAGCAUGCAUCUAGUGUAUUAAGUUCAUGGAAAACGGAGUAAUGCAAUAAGAACGGUGAAAUGAUGUAGACAAGAUCUAUUCAUGUAGGAAUAAGCCCCAUCUUCUUAUCCUUAAUGGCAACGAUACAUGCGUGUCAUGUCUCCUUUUGGUACUAAGAAUAAACACCGCAAGAUUGAACCCAUCACAAAGCACCUCUUCCCAUUGCAAGAAAAAUUAAUCUAGUUGGCCAAACCAAACCAAAGUUUCGAAGAAGAAAUACGAGGCUAUAAUGAUCAUGCAUAUAAGAGUUCAACAAAGACCCAAAUAACAUUCAUGGAUAGAUCUGAUCAUUAACUCACGAUUCAUCGGAUCCCAACAAACACACCGCAAAAAGUCAUUACAUCAAAUAGAUCUCCAGGAACAUCGAGGAGAACAUUGUAUUAAAGAUCAUAAAGAGAGAAGAAGCCAUCUAGCUACUGCUUACGGACCUGUAGGUCUGUGGUAAACUACUCAUGCAUCAUCAGAGGAGCACCAAUAAGGAUGUUGAAUGUACCCCUCCGUGAUCAUUUGCCCCUCCGGCAAGGUGCCGGAAUAGGGCUCUAGAUUGGCUCUCGUGGUUCUGGAACUUGCGGCGACUAGAAUUGUGUUUCGUCGACUCCCCUAGGGUUUCUGAAAUAUUUGGGUAUUUAUAGACCUGAGAGGCGGUGGAAAAGAUUACCUUGGGUCCCACAAGGCACCAGGGCACGCUAGGGGUCUCUAGCGCGCCCUGGUGUCUUGUGGGCCCCACGGGCCUCCACUGGUACACCUCCUAGGCUCCCUGGGUCUCUUUUGGGCAGAAAAAAUCUCCAAAAAGUUUCGCUGCAUUUGGAUUUCGUUUGAUAUGGAUAUUCUGCAUAAAAAACAAGCAAAAAACAACAACUGGCACUGGGCACUAUGUCAAUAGGUUAUUCCCAAAAAUGAUAUAAAAUUUCUAGUAAAUGAAUAUAAAACAUCCAAGAUUGAUAAUAUAACAACAUGGAGCAAUCAAAAAUUAUAGAUACAUUCGAGACAUAUCAGCAUCCCCAAGCUCAAUUCCUGCUCAUCCUCGAGUAGGUAAAUGAUAAAAACAGAAUUUUUGAUGUGGAAUGCUGCCUAACAUGUUCAUCACAUAUUCUUUUCUUUUGUAGCAUGGACAUUUGGACUUUUAGAUGAUUCAAAGCAGUAGUCUAUAAUUGACAUGACGACAUCAAUACUCAAGCAUAUCAACAAGCAACCAUGUCUUUCAAAAUAUCAACACUAAAGAAAGCUAUCCCUAGCCCAUUAUGCUAAAUCAUUGAUCCAUUCAUGGAACACACUUCAAUAUUAGCUACAUCCAAUGCACAAGUAUGAUCACAGUGCUCCCUAGUUGGUGCUUUAUAAGAGAAGAUGGAGACUCAAAUAAAAAUUAAAAUUUCAUAAAGUAAAUAGAUAGGCCCUUCGCAGAGGGAACCCGAGAUUUGUAGAGGUGCCGGAGCUCAAAGCUUAAAUUGGGAGAUAAAAUAUUUUGAGAGGAAUGCUUUUCUCAUCAACGAAAAUGACCGAGAAGUCCCAGUACUUUUCAUGCUAAAUACAUCAUAGGCGGUUCCCAAACAUAAAAUAAAGUGUAUUCCUUUUUCCUCCUUUCUUUCACAAUUCAUGGCUAGCCGUAUCCACGGGUGCCUUCCAUACUAACACUUUCCAAGGAAUUUAUUAUUUAUCAACAUAAAGUAUUUUUUCAUUUCAGGACUGGGCAGCCCUCUUACCUUGCCACACUCUCGUGCAAUGACAAGUGAAUAAACACUCAUCUUGAGAAUAACACGUCUAGCAUGGAAAAAUAUUGGCCACCCCCUGUCACUUUAUGAGCGAUACGGGCACACAAAAAGGAAAUUGAUUUUGAAAAUUAGAGUUGGCACAUACAAAUUUAGUUAGAACGACACGGAAAUACCGCAUAUAGGUAGGUAUGGUGGACUCAUUUGGCAUAACUAGUUUAAGGAGUUUGGAUGCACAAGCAGUAUUCCCGCUUAGUACAAGGAAAGACUAGCAAAUAGAUUGAGCAACCAAGAAAGGAAAACAAUCAUAAAUGAGCAUUAAACAUAACUAACACCGAAUAAUGCACCACAAGUAGGAUGUAACUUCAUUGCAUAACUAUUGACUUUCGUGCUUGCAUAGGGAAUCACAAACCUCAACACCAAUAUUCUUACUAAAGCAUAAGCACUCACCAACAUGACUCACAUAUUACUAUCUCCAUAUCUCAAAACUAGUACAAGGAGUCAAGUUUAUAAUAUCCAAUGAUCUUCAUGAAAUAUUUUAAUAUAUCCCCCUUGGAUAUCAAUCACUUUGGGACUAUUAUCAUAUAUUACCAUUGCUUAUAACAACCUCUCAAACAAAUUUAAGUGAAGAAUAUGAGCAUAAAUAUUUUUUCAUCUCUCAAAAUAAUAUAAGUGAAGCAUGACAAAAUUUAUUCAAAAAUUUACUAACUCUCAAAUUGAUCUAAGUGAAGCAUGAGAGUAUUUCUUCUAAAAUUAGAGCACCACCGUGCUCAGAAAGAUAUAAGUGAAGCACUAGAGCAAUUCCAUAGCUCAAAAAAUUUAAGUGAAGCACAUCGAGCAAUUCUAACAAAUCAUAGCAUCAUUAUGGCUCUCUCAAAUAGGGGUGUCCAGCAAGGAUGAUUGUGACAAACUAAAAAGAAAAACAAGCAAAGACUCAUAUAAUACAAGACGCUCCAAGCAAAACUCAUGAUAUGUGACGAAUAAAAAUAUAACUCCAUGUAAAAUUACCAAUGAUCAUUAGAAGAAAGAGAGGAUGCCUUCCGGAGAAUCCCCAAGCUUAGGCUCUUUUCACUCCUUAUUCCUUUUUAUCCAUCGUGACCUCACCCAAAACUUGAAAAAUUCAAUCACACAAAACUUAACAAAACCUUCGUGAUAUCCGUUAGUAUAAUAAGGAAAAUUACCACUUUAAGUACUAUUGCAAACCCAUUCAUAUUUAAUUAUUGCAUUACCUAAUGUACUCUAACUUUACCAUGGUUUAUACCCCCGAUACAAUCCAUAGAUUCAUCAACAUAAGCACACAAUGCAACAAAAAUAGAACAGUCUGUAGUAAUCUAGACUUUGAGCAUAGUUCUGUAACUCCAAUAAUUCUGAAAAGUUAGGAACAUAGGAAAUUUGUAUAUAAAUCUUGUGUAACAAAAUUCAGAAUUUUAUCCCGCUUCUGUGAUUUUUAACAAUUCUGCUACUCGGCGUAAAAGUUUCUGUUUUCCAACAAGAUCAAAUCAACUAUCACCCAAAAUGAUCCUAAAGGAUUUACUUGGCACAAACACUAAUUAAAACAUAAAAACACAAUCAUAACAGUAGAAUAAUUGUAUGACCACACGAAAACAGAAAGAAAAAGAAAAAAUAUUGUAUUCAUUGGGUUGCCUCCCAACAAGCUCUUUCUUUAUAGCCAUUAAGAUAGGCUUGUGAUUUUAUUGAUGCUCACAUUAAGAUAAUAAUUGAAACACAAAGAGAGCAUCAUAAAACAUGUGACAAGCACAUUUAAGUCUAACAUACUUCCUAUGCAUAGAAAUUUUCUAAGCAAACAUAUUAUCAAGGUAAGCAAAAACUGGCAAAUGCAGGGAAGAAGAAAGAAACAAUAGUAACCUCAACAUGACGAGAGGUAAUUUAGUAACAUGAAAUUUUCUACAACCAUGUUUUCCUCUCUCAUAAUAACUACUUGUGGGAUCAUAAUCAAAUUCGGCAAUAUAGCUAUCACAUAACAUAUUCUCUACAUGAUCCACAUGCAUGCAAAGUUGACACUCUUCCAAAAUAGUGGGAUUAUCAUCAAAUAAAAUCAUGACCUCUCCAAACCCACUUUCAUAAAAAAAAUCAUAAGAUUGAUCACACUCCAAAUAUGUGGGAUUAUUUUUGCCUAAAGUUGACACUCUUCCAAACCCACUUUCAAUAUUAUCGCAAACAUAUUCAUCAUGAGGCUUAAAUAAAUUUUCAAGAUCAUAAUAAGAAGCACCCCAAUCAUGAUCAUUGCAAUAAGUAGAGAACAUAACAAAUUCAUCAUCCCCAAGCUUUGGGCUUUGCAGAUCAUUAACACAAUUGACAUUAAUAGAAUUUAUAAAAACUUCAUUGCAAUCAUGCUUUUCAUUCAAGGAUCUAUCAUGAAUCACUUCAUAAAUUUCCUCAUUUAACACUUCAUCACAAAUUUCAGAUUCAUGAAUCUCAGGCAAAACUUCAUAAAUAUAAUCUAGUGAAUUUAAUUCACUAGCAAUUGAUUCAUCAUAAUUGGAUCUUUUAAAAAGAUUAGGAAGUGUAUGAGGAUCCAUAUCAAUAGAUUUUUAGCAAGCGAAGAUGCAACAAAUAGAAGGCACAUGGCAACACAAGCAAACAAAAGAUCGAACAAGAAAAAGGCAAACAAAAAAUAUUUUUGUAUUUUUUAGCAAAAACAUUUUAGAAGUGGGGGAGGUGAAAAUGAGAGGCAAAUGGAAAAUAAAGUAAUUGCAAGGAGAUGAGAUUUGUGCUUGGGUACCUGAUAGAUGUUGAUGAUGUCUCCCCCGCAACGGCGCCAGAAAUUCUUCCCGAUUGCUUGUAUCUGCGUUGGUAUUUCCCCGAAGAGGAGAGGAUGAUGCGGCACAACAAUGGUUAGUAUUUCCCUCAGUUAUGAAAUCAAGGUUUUCAAUCCAGUAGGAGAACCAAGCAACACUAUGUAAACAACACCUGCACACAAAUAACAAAUACUUGCAACCCAAUACAUAAGACGGGUUGUCAAUCCCUCCUCGGUAUUGAGAUGGAUUAAAUUGUAUGAGAUUGGGUAAAUAGAUGUAGCGAAAACACUAAAUAAAAUAAAGAAAAAAAGUGUUGUAGGGUAUUUUGGGGUUUUUGGAAUAAUAGAUCUGAAAACAAUAUGAUAGGAAAUAGACCCGGGGGCGUAGAUUUCACUAGUGGCUUCUCUCAAGAAAAUAGCAUAUGGUGGAUAAACAUAUUACCGCUGGGCAACUGAUAGAAGUGCAAAUAAUUAUGACAAUAUCCAAGGCAAUGAUCAUGUAUAUAGGUAUCACGUUCAAGAUUAGUAGACCGACUUUUGUCUGCAUCCACUACUAUUACUCCACACAUCAACUGCUAUCCAACAUGCAUCUAGUGUAUUAAGUUCAUGGAAAACAGAGUAAUGCAAUAAGAACGAUGACAUGAUGUAGACAAGAUCUAUUCAUGUAGGAAUAGACCCCAUCUUUUUAUCCUUAAUGGCAACGAUGCAUGCGUGUCAUGUCUCGUUAUGUCACUGAGAAUAAGCACCGCAAGAUCGAACCCAUCACAAAGCACCUAUUCCCAUUGCAAGAAAAUCAAUUUAGUUGGCCAAACCAAACAAAAGUUUUGGAAUUUGAAUGAGAACCAUUUUUGAAAUUACCAAACAUAUUUUCAGUUUUUGAACAAAUUUUUGAAAUACAAACAUUUUCUCCACUGUUGGUCAAAUUUUGAAAUUAUAAACUUGGUUGAAAUUACCGAACAUUUUUUUUGAAAGGAGCGAACAAUUUUUUAGAUUCUAAAUAAGUUCAAUUUUUUUGAUAUUUUGAAAAAAAUUCUGAUCAAGAAUUGAAAAUAGGAACAUUUUUAAAAUUGUUAACACAUUUUGCUCUAUUAGAAUAAUUUCUAUCAUUUUUUGAAAAAGGAAAAAAGAAAAGAAAAGAGAAAUAAAAAAAGAAGCAGGAAAACGAAAAUAAGGUAAAAUACGCAAAAAAAAAAUGCUUCAGUGAACCUGCUAGAAGGUUCCCAAAACCGGUUGGGCACAGUGUAGAGCUAGAACUGGGACGGAUCAUUUCUCGUGGAUGGCAUCCUUGCCGUGUGCGAAUCACCGACAAUUUGCUACAGCGAGCGACAAAUAGGGUUUUCUGCCAAACUCUCCUGGACCUCCUAUAUGCCGCUUAUUGUGGCAAGAAGUCCUGGUUUCGCACAUGAUCUCCGGGACCUCCUAUAUGCCUCUUAUUGCGGCAAGGAGUCCUGGUUUCGCACAGGAGACGGCUCACCUUGGCCGGCCCAUUCGUUGUCCUUCAAGGAAUGAAAAAUCCCAAAAAUGUACGAGCGUGAUCCUAAUAGGAAUCAAACCCGCGACCUGCUAUAAGUGCACGUGAAGCGCUAGCCACUGCGAUAGGCGACCUACUGUGAAAUUUUUGCAACACGAGUUUUGAAGAACUUGCUGGCAACGGUGAAAAAGAAAACCAGUUUGCUAAAUUCCAUGAAAUAAGACUUGUGGGCAAGGGAUCAAACUCAAGUCAUCCCGCUACAGAAGCGAGUCUAUAGCCAUUGUAGUAAUGGAGGUUAGUGCAUACAAUGCAGCCCGAUAUAUAUAUGAACUAUAAUCCAUGGCAAAUUAAAAUUUGUUUUGAAAUUGGGCGUAAUUUGUUAAAAGGAUUUUUUGAAACGCAAACAAAUUGAGAACUAAAAAACAAAAAGGAACAAAAAUUGAAUACAAGAAUAUUUUUCAAUCAUGAACUACUUUUCAUAAUCGCAAACAUUUUUUGAUAAACAAUAAAAAAAAUUAAAAAGUGAACAGUUUUCAAAAUUAAAUUACUUUUUAAAAAACUAUAGCACUUUUUGAAUUUUCAAAGUAAUUUUGGAAAUAUGAACGUUUGUGAAUUUGUGAACAAAUUUUGAAAACUAUAGCAUUUCUAAAAAUAUAUGAACAAAUUUGGUAAAUAAGAACAUUUUUUGAAGUUCCCAAAUAUUUAAGAAUUUGUGAAGAGAAACCAAACAUGCAAAUAUUGUUUGAAUUUUUGAAUAAAUUUUGAAGCAUGAACAUUUUUUGAAUAUGUGAGAAAAUUUUGGAAAUGAAAAUAUUUUUGAAUUUGCAAACAAAUUUGCAAAACUGGAAGACUUUUGGAAAUUCCAGAACAUUUUUGAAUGUAUGAACAAAACUUAGAAAUAUGACAAUUUUUUUGGAAUUCUAGAACAUUUUUUAAUUUGUGAACUAAAUUUGAAGUUGUGAUCAUUUUUUUUAAUUUGUGAAUUUUUUUUAAAAGGGGAACUUUUUAAAAACAGAUAUUUUUGGUUUGUGAACAAAGUUUAAAAAGGUAAAUGUUUAUUGAAUUACGAACAUUUUCUGAAACGAAGUGAACAAAUUUUGAAAUUAUGUUUUUUAUAGAACUUAUGAACAAAACUUGAGUACAUGAACAUUUUUUAGAAAUGAACAAAUUUUUAAAAUAAAAACAUAAAAAAACAAAAAUGGAUUGAGAAAGAAAAGUUAAAAUGAAAAGGAAAAAAAUGGAAAGUAAAAAAAAGAAAAAAA